This 159-nucleotide ribosomal RNA is filed under the name Collabium sp. Chase O-821. RNAcentral describes it as "5.8S ribosomal RNA". The record is from RNAcentral. Lineage: Eukaryota; Viridiplantae; Streptophyta; Magnoliopsida; Asparagales; Orchidaceae.
UCGAGUCUUUGAACGCAAGUUGCGCCCGAGGCCAACCGGCCAAGGGCACGUCUGCCUGGGCGUCAAGCGUUGCGUCGCUCCGUGCCAACUCCAUCCCGCCAAUGGGCGUGUCGGAUGAGGCUAGGAUGUGCAUAGUGGCUCGUCGUGCCCAUCGGUGCG